GGAUUCCCCUAGUAACGGCGAGUGAAGCGGGAAGAGCUCAAAUUUGUAAUCUGGCACUUUCAGUGUCCGAGUUGUAAUCUCGAGAAGUGUUUUCCGCGCUGGACCGCAUACAAGUCUGUUGGAAUACAGCGUCAUAGUGGUGAGAACCCCGUAACUGAUGCGGAUGCCCAGUGCUUUGUGAUACACUUUCGAAGAGUCGAGUUGUUUGGGAAUGCAGCUCAAAUUGGGUGGUAAAUUCCAUCUAAAGCUAAAUAUUGGCGAGAGACCGAUAGCGAACAAGUACCGUGAGGGAAAGAUGAAAAGCACUUUGGAAAGAGAGUUAACAGUACGUGAAAUUGUUGGAAGGGAAACGCUUGAAGUCAGACUUGCUAUUUGGAUUUAUUCAAUUCGCAGGCCAGCAUCAGUUUUCGGGGGUGGAAAAGGGUUUGGAGAAGGUAGCAACUCCGGUUGUGUUAUAGCUCCUUGCUGGAUUCAUCUUUGGGGACUGAGGAACGCAGCACGCUUUUUGCAAGGCUUUCGAGCUUUUCGUGCUUAGGAUGCUGGUGGAAUGGCUUUAAACGACCCGUCUG
Molecule: ribosomal RNA, 569 nt
Filed under: uncultured fungus
Lineage: Eukaryota; Fungi
Description: eukaryotic LSU rRNA
Rfam family: Eukaryotic large subunit ribosomal RNA
Source: RNAcentral